This 96-nucleotide non-coding RNA is filed under the name Pseudogulbenkiania sp. NH8B. RNAcentral's name for it is "Glycine riboswitch aptamer". It matches the Rfam family "Glycine riboswitch aptamer". From Rfam's summary of the family: This family represents the bacterial glycine riboswitch. Glycine riboswitches usually consist of two metabolite-binding aptamers domains with similar structures in tandem. RNAcentral also lists the same sequence under 1 other name. The record is from Rfam by way of RNAcentral. Lineage: Bacteria; Pseudomonadati; Pseudomonadota; Betaproteobacteria; Neisseriales; Chromobacteriaceae.
CCCCAUCUAGCAGGAGAGAGUGGCCGCGCAAGCCGGCCGCCGCCGAAGGCGCAAGUGCACCCGCAAUCGCUCAGGCAAAAGGACUGCGAGGAUCGG